GGACGAACGCUGGCGGCGUGCUUAACACAUGCAAGUCGAACGGAAAGGCCCUGCUUUUGUGGGGUGCUCGAGUGGCGAACGGGUUAGUAACACGUGAGUAACCUGCCCUUGACUUUGGGAUAACUUCAGGAAACUGGGGCUAAUACCGGAUAGGAGCUCCUGCUGCAUGGUGGGGGUUGGAAAGUUUCGGCGGUUGGGGAUGGACUCGCGGCUUAUCAGCUUGUUGGUGGGGUAGUGGCUUACCAAGGCUUUGACGGGUAGCCGGCCUGAGAGGGUGACCGGCCACAUUGGGACUGAGAUACGGCCCAGACUCCUACGGGAGGCAGCAGUGGGGAAUAUUGCACAAUGGGCGGAAGCCUGAUGCAGCAACGCCGCGUGCGAGAUGACGGCCUUCGGGUUGUAAACCGCUUUCGCCUGUGACGAAGCGUGAGUGACGGUAAUGGGUAAAGAAGCACCGGCUAACUACGUG
This 469-nucleotide ribosomal RNA is filed under the name uncultured bacterium. RNAcentral's name for it is "partial 16S ribosomal RNA". It matches the Rfam family "Bacterial small subunit ribosomal RNA", at positions 27 to 507 of the family's 1533-position model. The record is from RNAcentral.